UCCGGUUGUUCUUUUCCUUCCUGUUCUUCUCUUUUCCGGUUGUUCAUUUCAGUUGUUCUCUUUAUUCCAGUUGUUCUUUUCCUUCCGGUUGUUCUCUUUUCCAGUUGUUCUCUUUUCCGGUUGUUCUCUUUUCCAGUUGUUCUUUUCCUUCUGGUUGUUCUUUUCAUUCCGGUUGUUCUCUUUAUUACGGUUGUUCUCUUUAUUCCGGUUGUUCUUUUCCUUCCUGUUGUUCUCUUUUCCAGUUGUUCUCUUUUCCAGUUGUUCUCUUUUCCGGUUGUUCUCUUUAUUCCGGUUGUUCUUUUCCUUCCGGUUGUUCUUUUCCU
Molecule: long non-coding RNA, 323 nt
Filed under: Numida meleagris (helmeted guineafowl)
Lineage: Eukaryota; Metazoa; Chordata; Aves; Galliformes; Numididae
Description: lncRNA (ENSNMEG00000002572.1)
Source: RNAcentral